GUGAGUAGUUCAGAGUUUGAUCCUGGCUCAGGAUGAACGCUGGCGGCAUGCCUAACACAUGCAAGUCGAACGGAGUACCCGGAAUUGAAGCUUCGGCCGAUUUUCUGGAAUACUUAGUGGCGGACGGGUGAGUAACACGUGAGUAACCUGCCCUUGAGUGGGGGAAUAACACACCGAAAGGUGUGCUAAUACCGCAUAACAUAUGGAGUUCGCAUGAACAUCAUAUCAAAGAUUUAUUGCUCAAGGAUGGGCUCGCGUCCGAUUAGGUAGUUGGUGAGGUAACGGCUCACCAAGCCGACGAUCGGUAGCCGGACUGAGAGGUUGAUCGGCCACAUUGGAACUGAGACACGGUCCAA
RNAcentral lists this ribosomal RNA (356 nucleotides) under uncultured bacterium. RNAcentral describes it as "bacterial SSU rRNA". It matches the Rfam family "Bacterial small subunit ribosomal RNA", at positions 1 to 334 of the family's 1533-position model. The record is from RNAcentral.